This 72-nucleotide transfer RNA is filed under the name Phrynosoma platyrhinos (Desert horned lizard). RNAcentral's name for it is "tRNA-OTHER". The record is from RNAcentral. Lineage: Eukaryota; Metazoa; Chordata; Lepidosauria; Squamata; Phrynosomatidae.
GCCAGAAUGGUGUAGUGGUUUGAGCAUUGGACUAUGACUCUGAAGACUAGGGUUUGAAUCCCAGCUCAGCCA